Molecule: ribosomal RNA, 424 nt
Filed under: Mycobacterium sp. Ri506
Lineage: Bacteria; Bacillati; Actinomycetota; Actinomycetes; Mycobacteriales; Mycobacteriaceae
Description: bacterial SSU rRNA
Rfam family: Bacterial small subunit ribosomal RNA
Source: RNAcentral
AAAGGCCCUUCGGGGUACUCGAGUGGCGAACGGGUGAGUAACACGUGGGUGAUCUGCCCUGCACUUUGGGAUAAGCCUGGGAAACUGGGUCUAAUACCGAAUACACCUCAUGGGAUGCAUGUUUUGUGGGGGAAAGCUUUUGCGGUGUGGGAUGGGCCCGCGGCCUAUCAGCUUGUUGGUGAGGUUACGGCUCACCAAGGCGACGACGGGUAGCCGGCCUGAGAGGGUGUCCGGCCACACUGGGACUGAGAUACGGCCCAGACUCCUACGGGAGGCAGCAGUGGGGAAUAUUGCACAAUGGGCGCAAGCCUGAUGCAGCGACGCCGCGUGAGGGAUGACGGCCUUCGGGUUGUAAACCUCUUUCGCCAGGGACGAAGCGCGAGUGACGGUACCUGGAGAAGAAGCACCGGCCAACUACGUGCCA